This 497-nucleotide ribosomal RNA is filed under the name uncultured bacterium. Its description in RNAcentral is "partial 16S ribosomal RNA". It matches the Rfam family "Bacterial small subunit ribosomal RNA", at positions 28 to 507 of the family's 1533-position model. The record is from RNAcentral.
GAUGAACGCUGGCGGCGUGCCUAAUACAUGCAAGUCGAGCGAACAGACGAGGAUCUUGCUCCUCUGACGUUAGCGGCGGACGGGUGAGUAACACGUGGAUAACCUACCUAUAAGACUGGGAUAACUUCGGGAAACCGGAGCUAAUACCGGAUAAUAUAUUGAACCGCAUGGUUCAAUAGUGAAAGACGGUUUUGCUGUCACUUAUAGAUGGAUCCGCGCCGCAUUAGCUAGUUGGUAAGGUAACGGCUUACCAAGGCAACGAUGCGUAGCCGACCUGAGAGGGUGAUCGGCCACACGGGAACGGAGACACGGUCCAGACUCCUACGGGAGGCAGCAGUAGGGAAUCUUCCGCAAUGGGCGAAAGCCUGACGGAGCAACGCCGCGUGAGUGAUGAAGGUCUUCGGAUCGUAAAACUCUGUUAUUAGGGAAGAACAAAUGUGUAAGUAACUAUGCACGUAUUGACGGUACCUAAUCAGAAAGCCACGGCUAACUACGUG